This 510-nucleotide ribosomal RNA is filed under the name uncultured bacterium. RNAcentral describes it as "partial 16S ribosomal RNA". It matches the Rfam family "Bacterial small subunit ribosomal RNA", at positions 28 to 507 of the family's 1533-position model. The record is from RNAcentral.
GACGAACGCUGGCGGCGUGCUUAACACAUGCAAGUCGAACGAAGAGCGAUGGAAGCUUGCUUCUAUCAAUCUUAGUGGCGAACGGGUGAGUAACGCGUAAUCAACCUGCCCUUCAGAGGGGGACAACAGUUGGAAACGACUGCUAAUACCGCAUACGAUCUAAUCUCGGCAUCGAGGAAAGAUGAAAGGUGGCCUCUAUUUAUAAGCUAUCACUGAAGGAGGGGAUUGCGUCUGAUUAGCUAGUUGGAGGGGUAACGGCCCACCAAGGAGAUGAUCAGUAGCCGGUCUGAGAGGAUGAACGGCCACAAUGGGACUGAGACACGGCCCAGACUCCUACGGGAGGCAGCAGUGGGGAAUCUUCCGCAAUGGACGAAAGUCUGACGGAGCAACGACGCGUGAGUGAUGACGGCCUUCGGGUUGUAAAGCUCUGUUAAUCGGGACGAAAGGCCUUCUUGCGAACAGUUAGAAGGAUUGACGGUACCGGAAUAGAAAGCCACGGCUAACUACGUG